CCCCUAGAUGUUCUGGGCCGCACGCGCGCUACACUGAACAGUUCAACAAGUCUUAACCUUGGCCGAUAGGUCUGGGUAAUCUUUGAACGCUGUUCGUGAUUGGGAUAGACCUUUGCAAUUAUGGGUCUUCAACGAGGAAUUCCUAGUAAACGCAAGUCAUCAGCUUGCAUUGAUUACGUCCCUGCCCUUUGUACACACCGCCCGUCGCACCUACCGAUUGAAUGGUCCGGUGAAGCCUCCGGAUUGGCGCGCACCUCGGUGCCGCCGAGAAGUUGGCUAAACCUUACCAUUUAGAGGAAGGUGAGGUCGUAACA
RNAcentral lists this ribosomal RNA (314 nucleotides) under uncultured eukaryote. Its description in RNAcentral is "partial 18S ribosomal RNA". It matches the Rfam family "Eukaryotic small subunit ribosomal RNA", at positions 1470 to 1796 of the family's 1831-position model. The record is from RNAcentral.